RNAcentral lists this ribosomal RNA (459 nucleotides) under uncultured bacterium. RNAcentral describes it as "partial 16S ribosomal RNA". It matches the Rfam family "Bacterial small subunit ribosomal RNA", at positions 338 to 795 of the family's 1533-position model. The record is from RNAcentral.
CCUACGGGCGACAGCAGUGAGGAAUAUUGGUCAAUGGCCGGAAGGCUGAACCAGCCAAGCCGCGUGAGGGAUGAAGGCGCAGAGCGUCGCAGACCUCUUUUGCCGGGGGACAAAAGGCCGGACUUGUCCGGUCCUGAGGGUACCCUGAGAAAAAGCAUCGGCUAACUCCGUGCCAGCAGCCGCGGUAAUACGGAGGAUGCGAGCGUUAUCCGGAUUCAUUGGGUUUAAAGGGUGCGCAGGCGGAACUUUAAGCCGGCGGUUAAAAGGCGGGGCUCAACCCCGCCGUGCCGUUGGAACUGGGGGUCUUGAGUGGGGGAGAGGAAUGCGGAAUGCGUGGUGUAGCGGUGAAAUGCAUAGAUAUCGCGCAGAACCCCGAUUGCGAAGGCAGCGUGCCGGGCCGCAACUGACGCUGAGGCACGAAAGCGCGGGGAUCGAACAGGAUUAGAUACCCCUGUAGUC